GUGCUCCCUUUGGCAGCACAUAUAUGAAGUUGAACAAUACAGGAAGGAUUAGCAUGGCCCUUGGGCAAGAACGGCACCCAAACUCAUGAAACAUUCCAUUUAAUU
This is a small nuclear RNA of Nomascus leucogenys (northern white-cheeked gibbon), 105 nucleotides long. NCBI's taxonomy places the organism in Eukaryota, Metazoa, Chordata, Mammalia, Primates, Hylobatidae. The record is from Ensembl.